GAUCUCGUUUCGCGGCAGCCCUCUGUUCUUGAGCGGGAACGCAAGGUUCUCACCCACGGUCAUGGUGUCGUAGAUCACCGGGAACUGGAACACCUGCGCGAUGUUGCGCUCGCGCGUGGUGGCGUGCGUGAUGUCGGUGCCGUCGAAUAGUACCUUGCCGUGCGAUGGCGUGACGAUACCCGAAAUGAUGUUCAACAGCGUGGUCUUGCCGCAGCCGCUUGGGCCCAGCAGCGCGUAAGCGCCGCCUUGCUGCC
RNAcentral lists this unclassified non-coding RNA (254 nucleotides) under Hevea brasiliensis (rubber tree). Lineage: Eukaryota; Viridiplantae; Streptophyta; Magnoliopsida; Malpighiales; Euphorbiaceae. The record is from RNAcentral.